GAAUGUAUAUUUGGCAGAAAAGUAACCAAAACAAAACCCCCUCUCACUCUCAUCAUUAUCUCUUUGAUCCCUCUUCUCAUUUUCCAAUUUGCACCCCAAAGCCACCAAUCAAAUCCAUUUCCCCAUUAAACCCCUCUCUUCUUUGCCCUUUUAAAAAAAAAAAAAGAACAACAAACAAACCCUUCUCCUCUCUCUCAUCCUUCAUGCACCUCUGUCAUAUUAAUUAAUAACUCUUUUAUUUUAUUUCUCUCUCUCUCUCUCUCAAUUGCUUACUGUAUAUUCACUUCUUUUUCCAUCUUAAAUACAACCCCAUCUCCUUCCCUUUGCCUGUAUUCUUUCAUUUCCAUCAUUUUUCUCUCUUUAGGGCUUAUGGGUUUGUCUUGGUUGGUUUCUCAGAUCACUUCCAUGGUGGAUUCUUAUUGAAGUUUUCAAGUUCAUAGAAGCCAUAAUCAAGACCUAAUUUCAUGUGGGUUUGUUUUUUUUUAGCAAAGGAUUUCCCAAUAGAGUUUAUUGGCAUUCUGUCCACCUCCCCUUUCAAAUCUUUGCUUCAGUUUAUUUUUUCCUUUGUUUUUUCUUUUCUUUUAUAAUAUGGGGAGGUGGGCAUACUGCCAACUGAGCUCUGUUGGAUUCUCUUUGUUACAACCCUCAUGAUGCUUUUUUCUUUCAUCAUCUUCAUUUUUCUUCUUUUUUAUUUUCUCUGCUGAAAAAUACAACUCCAAAGCCCACUAUCAUGGAGGUUUCUUCUUUCUCAGGUUUGAUUUGAUCUCUGUUUUUUUUUAAUUGGGAGAAGGGAAAAAAGAACCCUAAAAAGUUUCUAUCAAGGCUUACUAGGUUUGAAGAAACAUUAGGUCAAAUCCCAAAUCUCAAAACUCUAGAUUUCUUUUAUGAGUGAGUGGAAAAGUAGUAUAGAAAAUGAAGUGAUUGUUUUUUUUUCUUCUUUUUUUCUUCUUUUUUUUUCCAGCUCAUGGGGCCAAAAUGAUGAAGGUAUAUAUAUGAUUGAAAUAAUUAACUUUCACAAUUGAUUUCUGCAAAAUAAAUAAAUAAAUAAAUUUUCCUUUUAGGGUUGUGGGUUUUGCGAGAAUGAUUUGUUAUCAUAAGGCCAACAAUAAUUAGCGAAGAUUUUUCUUUUUUUAGAUCAUUAUUUCAUCGGUAUGUUCAUGGCCUUCAUGCAUGCUUUGUCUGUCCCUCGUUUUUAAUUUUACUUUUAAUUAUUAUUAUCAUUGUGUUUGGUUGGUUAAAUCGCUUGGGUUUCUUUUUUCUUUAAAUAAAAAAAAUUGUGUUGAAAAAUCAAUCUCAUUUUUACCCAAUUUCCCAAGCCUUGAAUACUACGCAGCCAGCCCUCAUCAUUGUCCACUGACAAAAGAGUUUAAGCUUUUUCUAUGCCAGCCCAAGAUGCUUCCGUUAUUACCCACUCCUCGGGCGGCGCGUGCGUUUUCCGGUCGGUCUUCCACGGCGGCGCUUGGCGGCACGUGCUUGUUUCUACUCCCGCCGCCGGCGAAAAUAUUUUUGAAAGGAGGGGUUGUGUUUGGUAUUGGAAUUUGAGCCUAUGAAGAUCUGAUGUGAUCUUCUUCAAGCUUUGGAGCUCCUCUAGGGUUUUGGCCUUAUAAUUCUCUGCACAAUCACAGUCGUAGGGAACCAAUGUAUUUAUUCUCUCUCCAAUUUAUUUUAAAUUACUAUUUUAAUUUAUAAUCUCAGUGGUCUUUCACUUUUUCA
Benincasa hispida (wax gourd) is the source of this 1713-nucleotide non-coding RNA. The record is from RefSeq and is a predicted model, not a curated record. Lineage: Eukaryota; Viridiplantae; Streptophyta; Magnoliopsida; Cucurbitales; Cucurbitaceae.